GCCGGAUAUUCCUUAGAGCAA
RNAcentral lists this transfer RNA (21 nucleotides) under Crotalus cerberus (Arizona black rattlesnake). RNAcentral describes it as "partial tRNA-Thr". Lineage: Eukaryota; Metazoa; Chordata; Lepidosauria; Squamata; Viperidae. The record is from RNAcentral.